UACGUAGGGGGCAAGCGUUGUCCGGAAUCAUUGGGCGUAAAGAGCGUGUAGGCGGCCCGAUAAGUCCGCCGUGAAAGUCCAGGGCUCAACCCUGGAAUGCCGGUGGAAACUGUCGGGCUGGAGUCCGGAAGAGGCGAGUGGAAUUCCUGGUGUAGCGGUGAAAUGCGCAGAUAUCAGGAGGAACACCAAUGGCGAAGGCAGCUCGCUGGGGCUUUUCUGACGCUGAGGAACGAAAGCCAGGGGAGCGAACGGG
Molecule: ribosomal RNA, 253 nt
Filed under: uncultured bacterium
Lineage: Bacteria
Description: partial 16S ribosomal RNA
Rfam family: Bacterial small subunit ribosomal RNA
Source: RNAcentral